This 322-nucleotide long non-coding RNA is filed under the name Elaeis guineensis (African oil palm). RNAcentral's name for it is "long non-coding RNA (EGUI_LNC042922)". The record is from RNAcentral. Lineage: Eukaryota; Viridiplantae; Streptophyta; Magnoliopsida; Arecales; Arecaceae.
UCCUCUUCCUCUUCCCUAUUUCUCCUACGUUCUUCUCCACCUCAAGAGAGUUGUGAGAUCUAAGAGGAAGCUACUUUAGCCAUCAAAGAGGAGUCUUCUGCAAGAAAGCUAACACUCUGAUGAAGAUAUCUACCUUUGAUCGGAAUGAGUCCUCGUAUGGAUAUCUGUGGAGGUCGGGCAUGUGCGUGGCUAGAGAAACCAUUUAGAUCCACGAUCAUCGACUAUGGUGUAGUAUGACCCACGCAAAGGUAUUGAGAUUUGAUCUCAAUAUUACUUAUUUUUAUUUUUAGAUUAUAUGCAUAUCUUCGAUUUGGGCAUGGGU